This 1121-nucleotide long non-coding RNA is filed under the name Felis catus (domestic cat). RNAcentral's name for it is "lncRNA (ENSFCAG00000045766.2)". Lineage: Eukaryota; Metazoa; Chordata; Mammalia; Carnivora; Felidae. The record is from RNAcentral.
CUGGAGGCCGGGGCUCGUAGCAGGUGUUUGGGAUUCUGGGUCUCGCAUGUCUCGGUCCUAACCCGGGAGUUUCGGAGCUGAGAGGAAGGGUUUGUUGGCUUUUCAGGAUUCAGACAUAUGCCUCCUUGGGUUUUUGGGCUUGUUGCAUAGCCCCCGGAGGGGCUGCGUUGGAUUCUGGGUCUCCCACUUCUCCAUCCUUCCCCGUAAGUUUCUUAGUUGAGACCCCCUGGUCUGGAGGAUGUGUGGGAAACACUGACCCGUUUCUGUCGGGUACAGGGAGAGGCUUCAGCCCUGAUGAGCCAUGGUAAGAUACAGCCCCGGGCGUGGAGGCCCGGGGCGAGCCGGAGCACUAUCCAUUUUGUGCAUCCUAUCCUCCGAACUUCCCCGGGAGAUUCUGAGCUGAGACCCCCUGGUCUGGAGGCUGUGUGGGAAACACUGACCCGUUUCUGUGGGGUACAGGGAGAGGCUUCAGCCCUGAUGAGCCAUGGUAAGAUACAGCCCCGGGCGUGGAGGCCGGGGCUCGUAGCAGGUGUUUGGGAUUCUGGGUCUCGCAUCCCUCGGUCCUAACCCGGGAGUUUCGGAGCUGAGAGGAAGGUUUGUUGGCUUUUCAGGAUUCAGGCAUAUGCCUCCUUGGGUUUUUGGGCUUGUUGCAUAGCCCCCGGAGGGGCUGCAUUGGAUUCUGGGUCUCGCAUCUCUCGGUCCUAACCGGGAGUUUCGGAGCUGAGAGGAAGGGUUUGUUGGCUUUUCAGGAUUCAGGCAUAUGCCUCCUUGGGUUUUUGGGCUUGUUGCAUAGCCCCCGGAGGGGCUGCAUUGGAUUCUGGGUCUCGUAUCCCUCGGUCCUAACCCGGGAGUUUCGGAGCUGAGAGGAAGGUUUGUUGGCUUUUCAGGAUUCAGACAUAUGCCUCCUUGGGUUUUUGGGCUUGUUGCAUAGCCCCCGGAGGGGCUGCGUUGGAUUCUGGGUCUCCCACUUCUCCAUCCUUCCCCGUAAGUUUCUUAGUUGAGACCCCCUGGUCUGGAGGCUGUGUGGGAAACACUGACCCGUUUCUGUCGGGUACAGGGAGAGGCUUCAGCCCUGAUGAGCCAUGGUAACGACUCAGGGCCUGGAGGCCCGGGGCGAAGCA